GUGUUGACUUCAGCAGCACAUAUGCUAAAUUUGGAACAAUACAGAGAUUAGUGUGGCCCCUGAGCAAGGAUGACACACAAAAUUGUGAAGUGUUCCAUAUUUUU
This 104-nucleotide small nuclear RNA is filed under the name Catagonus wagneri (Chacoan peccary). Lineage: Eukaryota; Metazoa; Chordata; Mammalia; Artiodactyla; Tayassuidae. The record is from RNAcentral.